RNAcentral lists this unclassified non-coding RNA (485 nucleotides) under Hevea brasiliensis (rubber tree). Lineage: Eukaryota; Viridiplantae; Streptophyta; Magnoliopsida; Malpighiales; Euphorbiaceae. The record is from RNAcentral.
UAAAAAAAAAAAAAACCUAGAGAUUUCUGCUAGUAAACAACCUGACAGAGAAUCCAAUAACUUACCGUUUCAAUUAAGAAGAGGAAGAAGUAGGCAUGGAACUCACCUUUUUCAGAAGGCCUUUAAUUUCACACUCCAAUUUGGCUCUCAUUUCGGGAGAGAGAUUAUCUCCCGACUUCUCCAGCAUUGAUGUCAUCAUCUCUAGAUUCUGCCUUAUGAAGUCAAUGGGAGGACCCUCAGCAGGGUUUGGCGUUGGCCCAUAAGACUUUGCAGGUGUCCUCAAACCUUUAGUAGAAUUAGUGGCUCCACCACCUGCAAGGAGAUGAAGUUGGUAAUCGAUGAGGGUUGCACCAAAGGGACUGCUAUUCUCUAAACUCCUAAAUGCUUCUGCAGCAUCAAUACUUUUCACAAAAUCAACUUGGGCAGUACCAGAAUCUUUUGACAACUGUAUUUCUGACUCCCUCAAGGGUCCAAACCUGACAAAU